RNAcentral lists this ribosomal RNA (369 nucleotides) under Triticum aestivum (bread wheat). Its description in RNAcentral is "partial small subunit ribosomal RNA". The record is from RNAcentral. Lineage: Eukaryota; Viridiplantae; Streptophyta; Magnoliopsida; Poales; Poaceae.
AUGGAGGUUGCCAUGUCCGCAGUUGCAGGCGAACUUGUCAGCCGGUUCAUCUCCUUGCUGAUGAGCAAGUACCACUCCUCCAUCCAUGCACAAUCGAAGGAGCAGAAUCUGGCGAAGCGGUUGCGGCAUCUCCUGAUGCGCGUUGGCACCGUCGUCGAGGAGGCGGACGGGCGGUACAUAACCAACUCCGGGAUGUUGGCCCAGCUCAAGAUGCUCUCCGAGGCCAUGUAUGGAGGGUACCGUGUGCUGGACACCUUGAUGUACCGCGCCCUCCGAAACAGCGCGGGCUUCGACGAGGUGAUGAUGACUGGAAAAGGUUUCACUCAUUGGUCACAAGAAUGGGCAGAGGAAGCAAGAUCAUCAUUGUAA